GAGUUUGAUCCUGGCUCAGGACAAAUGCUGGCGGCGUGCUUAACACAUGCAAGUCGAACGAGAAACUCGCCUUCGGGCGAGGAGUAAAGUGGCAAACGGGUGAGUAAUGUAUGAAUAACCUGCCUUCAAGAUUGGGACAACCUGCCGAAAGGCGGGCUAAUACCGGAUAAGCCCACGAUCCGAUACUGUCGGAAUGCGGGAAAAGAUGGUCAAUGCUUGCAAACUAUCACUUGAAGAGGGGUUCAUAUCCUAUUAGCUAGUUGGUGGGGUAAUGGCCUACCAAGGCAAAGAUGGGUAGCCGGUCUGAGAGGAUGUACGGCCACACUGGAACUGAGAAACGGUCCAGACUCCUACGGGAGGCAGCAGUGGGGAAUUUUCCGCAAUGGGCGAAAGCCUGACGGAGCAACGCCGCGUGAGGGAUGAAGGCCUUCGGGUCGUAAACCUCUGUCGUGCAAGAAGAAUGUCUUUUAGGUGAAUAAUCUAAAAGAGUGACUGUAUUGCAGGAGGAAGCUCCGGCUAACUACGUGCCAGCAGCCGCGGUAAUACGUAGGGAGCUAGCGUUGUCCGGAUUUAUUGGGCGUAAAGGGCGCGCAGGUGGUUGGAUAAGUCACUUGUCUAAUCCGCAAGCUUAACUUGCGAUCGGCAGGCGAAACUAUCUAACUAGAGUAUAGGAGAGGAAAGUGGAAUUCCCAGUGUAGCGGUGAAAUGCGUAGAUAUUGGGAAGAACACCGGUGGCGAAGGCGACUUUCUGGACUAUUACUGACACUGAGGCGCGAAAGCUAGGGGAGCAAACGGGAUUAGAUACCCCGGUAGUCCUAGCCGUAAACGGUGAACACUAGGUGUAUCCUGAGUUAUCGGGAUGUGCCGAAGCUAACGCAUUAAGUGUUCCGCCUGGGGAGUACGCUCGCAAGGGUGAAACUCAAAGAAAUUGACGGGGGCCCGCACAAGCGGUGGAGCAUGUGGUUUAAUUCGAUGCUACGCGAAGAACCUUACCUGGGUUUGACAUUGUAGUGAAAUUUUAUAGAAAUGUAGAACCUCCAGCAAUGGACACUAUAACAGGUGCUGCAUGGCUGUCGUCAGCUCGUGUCGUGAGAUGUUGGGUUAAGUCCCGCAACGAGCGCAACCCUUAUCUUUAAUUGCCAUCAGGUAAUGCUGGGCACUUUAAAGAGACUGCCGACGAUAAGUCGGAGGAAGGUGGGGAUGACGUCAAGUCCUCAUGGCCUUUAUAUCCAGGGCCACACACGUGCUACAAUGGCCGGUACAAAGGGUAGCCAAAUCGCAAGAUGUAGCCAAUCCCAAAAAGCCGGUCUCAGUUCGGAUUGGAGGCUGCAACUCGCCUCCAUGAAGUUGGAAUCGCUAGUAAUCGCUAAUCAGCAGGUAGCGGUGAAUACGUUCCCGGGCCUUGCACAC
RNAcentral lists this ribosomal RNA (1410 nucleotides) under uncultured bacterium. RNAcentral describes it as "partial 16S rRNA". It matches the Rfam family "Bacterial small subunit ribosomal RNA". The record is from RNAcentral.